RNAcentral lists this ribosomal RNA (635 nucleotides) under uncultured archaeon. RNAcentral's name for it is "bacterial SSU rRNA". It matches the Rfam family "Archaeal small subunit ribosomal RNA", at positions 1 to 603 of the family's 1478-position model. The record is from RNAcentral.
UUCGCCCUUUUCCGGUUGAUCCCGCCGGACCCCACUGCUAUCGGGAUAGGACUAAGACAUGCAAGUCAAGCGCUUUCUAGCUAAUGUGAGAGCGCGGCGUACAGCUCAGUAACACGUGGCCAACCUGCCCUUGGGACGGGAACACCCCCGGGAAACUGGGGUUAAUUCCCGAUAGGUGAAGAAGUCUGGAAUGACUCUUCGCUCAAAAGACGUUUAUGUCAUGCUCAUAUUCGUCGCCCAGGGAUGGGGCCGCGACCGAUCAGGUUGUUGGUGAGGCAAUGGCUCACCAAGCCUUUUACCGGUGCGGGCCGUGAGAGCGGGAGCCCGGAGAUGGGCACUGAGACAAAGGCCCAGGCCCCACGGGGCGCAGCAGUCGCGAAAAUUUUGCAAUACACGAGAGUGUGACAGAGCUAUCCCGAGUGCCAUCCGCUGAGGAAGGCUUUUACCCAGUAUAAAUAGCUGGGAGAAUAAGGAGAGGGCAAGUCUGGUGUCAGCCGCCGCGGUAAUACCAGCUCUCCGAGUAGUGUGGACGUUUAUUGGGCCUAAAGCAUCCGUAGCUUGCUAGAUAAGUCCUCUGUUAAAUCCACCGAUUCAAUCGUUGGAUUGCGGGGGAUACUGUUUGGCUAGGGGACGGG